AAGGUAUAUAUACCUGGUAAUUAGAGGCUCUGAUAUUUGUAACCAUCAAUUAGUACUCUAAUUGUUUCUUCCUAAGUAAUGUAUCUUCUUUCAGAUAUCACUACAGAACGAUAUGGUAUUUGGGUGUGAUUUUACAGGAUUGUGUUUGUUUGACCACAGCAUGGAACCACAGCAUUGUAAAAGUUCUGAAGUUUCCAUCCCUUCUGUCCACUCAGAUGUCCAGCUUAGUGUCUGCAAUCCUGAUGGAUGACUGUCCCAUAAUGCUUUCUGACAGAAAGCGGCAUCUGUUGCCAUGGGAGAUUUCUUCAGUUUGUGCUGGAAAUUUCAAGGAUGAAACAAAGAGAUAGAGGUAGAAUGACUUAUAUGAGGGAACGAAUGAUUUCAG
This is a long non-coding RNA of Mercenaria mercenaria, 385 nucleotides long. RefSeq lists it as uncharacterized. The record is from RefSeq and is a predicted model, not a curated record. NCBI's taxonomy places the organism in Eukaryota, Metazoa, Mollusca, Bivalvia, Venerida, Veneridae. The transcript has 3 exons.